CCAAUAGCGUAUAUUAAAGUUGUUGCAGUUAAAAAGCUCGUAGUUGAAUUUCGGGAUCAAUAUGUCGGUCGUGCCUCGGUACGUACUGGCAUCAUUGGUUUCUCCCUUCUGAUGAACCAUGAUGCCAUUAAUUUGGUGUCGUGGGGAAUCAGGACUGUUACUUUGAAAAAAAUUCGAGUGUUUAAAGCAGGCUCACGCUUGAAUACAUUAGCAUGGAAUAAUGAAAUAGGACGUUUGAUUCUAUUUUGUUGGUUUCUAGGAUCGACGUAAUGAUUAAUAGGGUUAGUUGGGGGCAUUAGUAUUCAAUUGUCAGAGGUGAAAUUCUUGGAUUUAUUGAAGACUAACUACUGCGAAAGCAUUUGCCAAGGAUGUUUUCAUUAAUCAAGAACGAAAGUUAGGGGAUCGAAGACGAUCAGAUACCGUCGUAGUCUUAACCAUAAACUAUGCCGACUAGGGAUCGGAUGAUGUUAAUUUUUUAAUGACUCAUUCGGCGCCUUACG
This 500-nucleotide ribosomal RNA is filed under the name uncultured Glomeromycotina. RNAcentral's name for it is "partial small subunit ribosomal RNA". It matches the Rfam family "Eukaryotic small subunit ribosomal RNA", at positions 591 to 1092 of the family's 1831-position model. The record is from RNAcentral. Lineage: Eukaryota; Fungi; Glomeromycota.